UAAGUUUCCAUUAAGGAGGUUUGGUCAGGACUGGACUCAGCACUGGCACAGAGGCAGCACAGCUAUGUGGGAAGAACACAGGCUGGUCUGCAGGUGUCUAGAUUUGGAUCCUAGCUCUGUUACUUACUACUUUGUGACUUUGAGCAAAUUCACGUCUCUGAAAGGACCAGAGACCAUGCUGGGAAGCCUGGCUGCUCUUUGAGGACUGAGAUGAACUUAGCAAUGCAGAGAAGAACAAAGAGAGGCUUGUGCUCACCGUGUUCCAGAGGGAUCACCGUGUUCCCUUUGUUCAUUUGAGGACAUGAAUACAACUAUGGUCUUUGGACAAAAGGCAUAUGCCAGGCAGUAUGAAUGGUCUCUCUUGUCUGUGCAAUUAGUAUGUAAGAGCACGUGAACUGGUGCCUGGGACCUCUACCUGUUUUAGUAUGAUAGCACCACAGUAAAGGGCCUGGACUUUGUAUGAGCUUGGGAAAAUCAUGUCACCUCUGCAAGUCUUGGUUUCCCUGGGUGUUAAAUGUCAAUUUAAGUAAAAUGCUAUCUACUUUGUUUUGGAGACUUUCUAUGAGAAUCUGAUAAACUAUAACCUGUGAAAGAGUUUCAAAAGUUGUAAAAGAUUGAAGGGUGAGUAUACGGUGCAUGAUCCUUUACAGGGUUCUUGAAAAUGCAGUUACUCCAAGGGGCAGUGCUAGCAGAAGCUCAUAGCUCAUUCUCCUGAUUAGAAAACCUUUUUGGGGAAAGGGCUCAGGUUUAUUUCUGGUUCUAACAUGCUCAGUUUAAUGCAACAUAUUUCAGCUUCUUAUGGAAUCUCUACCAUAUGCUAAGCCUGUGCCAGGCAAAAGGGGGUGGUGUGGCAUGGAGAUUAGUCAUAGAGAAGUUCUGUCCCCCAGGAUCACCAAAGGACCCAUCUUCCUCUGAUAGAGCCCUCUGCCGACUUAGUUGAUCUUCGCUCUUGGCAAAGCCACAUGUACGGUAGCCCAGGUCCUUUUGAAAGGUAGUGUUUGUGGCAAGAAUUAAAGCAAUAACACCCUACUUUGGAGGUACAAGCUCAAGGUGGUGAGGGUGAUGGCAGGAAGAGGCAAGUGAAUCAAGGAAAGAUGGAAGCAAUGCAAUGCCACCUGCCCCUCUGCUAGCCAGAGGUUUAUGUGAACCUUGCAGUGACACAUUAGUUCCUCAACAGGCACAGCCGCUUGGCGUACUGGGCUGCGUGGGAAGGUUGGUGAGGAAAAAACACGCUUUGAAGUAAUCCACAUUGGGAAGAAAAGAGGAUAUUUAUCUGUCCAAUUACUUUCCAGUUCCAUUUCUCACUGGUCAAGGUUAUAUCCAGAGGAAAUCAUAGCCCCUGGUGGAUGCUCAGUAAGCCAGAUCCCAUGCUCAUGAUACUGUGCUUCAUGCGAGUGGAAAAGUGGGGGAAAGCUUGGCACAAGUGGGCUCCAGCCCACAGAAAGAGAGAAAGAGACAGCCGGGAGCGUCUCAGAAGGCACACAGGUGUUUGGUCCUAUUCCCUGACCUUCUCCUACUCCAGGUUAGGAGAGCUUGGAAUCCAGUGGAGUGUGGGGGUGAAUAUGGCUCCACUUCUAAAUCCCUUCCUUCAUCUCCAUCCACUGGAAGCGAUUGCAUCCUGCUGACAGGUUCCUCAGCUCUGAAGCCUCAUCCAAGGGCUUAACAGGAACAGAGUGACUGCCGUGGCUCCACCUCAACCUCUCCUGCAGACCGAUCCAGCCUUAUCCUUUCCACAAUCCCUUACGAGAGGCCUGGAUUCUUAUUAAGAAACACUAUGGAUUUUUAGAGUAAAAAUGUCUAUAGAGAGACUUCAGAAACAGUCUGGGGAGAUUAUAAAGAAAUGUGGGCCAGUUGUCCAAGGAGAUUUUAUAGAAUAUUCAAUAGCACUCAUGUCAUAAAAGGCCUGUGGAGGUUUGCAUAGCUGAGGCUGGCCCUGAAUUAUGAUUCCCUGAUGCAGAGCCCAGCAAAAGCUCACAGCAUCCCAGACUAGGGCUUGAUGCUGCUGUGCUUGUAAAAAUAGAGCCACCUCACCUCACUCAAAUGCAGUGGGGAUAUUAAUUUCCAGGGCUGGAGUUCAAUUUCAUAGAAAGACAGAGUGGAAAAUAGAGCUGUCUUUUCAAUCCCAGUGGUCAUAAUAGAACCCCACCCUGCACCUCUCUGGAAACUGUCUCCCAGCCAGCUCCCAGACACACUGAAACGUACCUUGUGCUUUGCUUUCAAUGAUAACUGGAGCUGGGUAGCCACAGGGACAGCAAUUACUGUCCACAGAUGAGGAACCUGAGGCAUUUGGAGGUUAAUCUACUCUCUCACAGGCACAGAGCGAGGCAGAGGAUGUGCCAGUUUGAAAGUCCUCCUCCUGAGUGGGAGCAGACGACCACAGUUACAUUCCACUUUUAUGGAAGAAGGAGAGUUAUGAAGGUGCAGGCCUACUGUGUGCUAGGCCCUGCAUGAAGUGCUUGACAUUCACACUCAUUCAGUUUUACAGUGAACCUGACAGGUCAAUAUUUUCUCCAUUUAUUAGGAAACUGAGAUUCAGUGAGACAAGGACAUUUGUUCAAAUAAAUCUCGUAACUCUGAAGAGGCCUGGAUCUGAGAAGAAUGGGUGCCAGGUAGUCUGACUGGGCUAGUUUUGCCCCAUCAUGGCCCUGUGACAUCCGUUCUGCCUCCCAGCUAGACUGGACUCCCCCAGACCAGGAACUGUGUCCUGGCUCUUCCUAGCACCCAGCUCAGGGAGGGCUAUCAAGGCUGCUGAAAGCAGGUGAGUUGGCAGAAUCUGGUGAGUGGGAAGAAUUGGACCUAUGCUUUUUAAAAAUGGGCUUGAAAUUUUAACUGAAACUUUCUCUCCUUACCUUAAAGCUCAGUGAAUGUCAGUCUCUGAGCAGAUGGGAAGAACUGAGGAUGAAUUUGUCCACUUAAAUGGGAAUGGAAGCUUAAGAAUCAAGAUAUUUGAAGAUAAGGGAAACUGAGGUACAGAGGAGGGGAAGAGCCAUGAUUGACUUCAUGCAACUCAUCAGGGAGGGCACCCAGAUUUACACGUGGAUCUGUGUCACUACAAAGCAGUGCCCUUGACUUAACACUCCAUCACUUUCCAUACAAGCUUCAAACUGAACUCCACCUUCAUUAGCUUGGUGAGCGCAGACCGCUGAACUCUUCUAACAUCUGUCUUAGAGGUUAUGUGUUGGCUGCUGCGUUCAGAGCUAUCCUAAAAGUAACUGAAACAAGGGAUUUUUGACUCCAUGGCUAAACAGUUUCUGGGGAGCAGACCUUGAUUCUACCAUUACUUAGAAAACAAAUCAAAUUAGAGUCAGACUAGUGAUGUUGUCAGAACUUUUCAAACAUAAAGACCCAUGAAUGGACAUGUACACUUGGGAUCAAAAGCACUCUCCUCUUCCAAACAGCAGUCUACACUUGGCCUUUUGAGAGGCUGAGCUAUUGCCAAGGACUAUUUAGAUGGAAGAUUUGAUUGUUGGUCAAGGAGACACUGAAGAAGAGAUAAGAUGGUGUACUGGAAUGGAAGGAAGGCUCUGGACAUCAGAACUUUGGGCCACUGUACUGCUGUGUAAAUUUGCGAAACCUACUUAAUCCUUAUGGACUGUUUCCUCAUCUGGAAAAUGAGUUAAAUGAGAUCCAUUUUAUAAAAUUGUUGUAAUGAUUAUAUAAGUAAACACAUAGUAAUAUUAUUUGAUUUUAUUAUUAUUAUUAUGACUUGUCACUCAAAGCAUUUAGCUUUGGUGUCUCUAAUAUUCAGUACUCACAUUUAUGUUCAAAUUUGGAUGCUAGGUAGAAAUGAAGACUUUGUAUCUGCCACCAGAGAAGGCUAUUUAUUAUUUGUCAUUGCCUGUCACGAACUCACAAAGAUAGUAUUUGCCUAUCCAAAGGUAUCUAAUUCCUCAGUUUCUUAUGUGACUAUAAAGGGGCCUACUUUGAUCUUACCAUGAACUCAAAUCCUUUCGAAAUUUCAAUUUGUCAGUUUUGAUAUUUGCUUCUCUCUCUUUUCUACUCCUCUUAUCCAGGAAAGGAGGCACAUUGUAGUUUUUGACUUAAUAAUGGGACCUAUAUUAAUAGUAAAGAAAGUUCAGAAGCCAAGAGAAAACCUGUGAAAUGAUAAAAAAAGGUAGAUGGAUAUAUUUUUUUAAAAUGUUCUGCCAAACACCUUUGAAUUGGCACCAUUGGGAAUACCUUUCAACAUGUAGGUUUAAGAAAACAUUUAGCUUUAUAAAGCCGCAGAGAAAAUCUUGUGAUAAAAUUAGUCAGAGUUGAGUAGAAAUGGAUUAAAGAAGGAACCAAAGAAUUUAACUCAUCAGCGAGAGGGGAUAAAACCAGGUCCUCGACCUGGAAUUCCCACAGGGUCAGGGCUCUCCCCAGUGUUUUUUCACUGCUGGUUCCACAGAUGACAGAGGGGAUGGGUGGAGAGAUAUGUUAUCCUAGACUGGUCACUUGUGCAAGCAGACCACAAUUGGGAGGAGGUCCACUAGUAUUUGAGGAAAACUAUUUAGAAGUGGGCAUCUUCUAAAUAGUUGGGAAUUAUUGAAAAGCAUUAGCCCAUUAGUUGUGAGAUAGAUGGAAGAUCAUGAAUCAGAGCGAUAUUAGAGUUUUCCUUUAUCUGGAGCUGGAUAGCCCUAAAAUAGCCAGGGAGGUGGUGUAGAUGGCCACAGUGGAUAGUGCACUGUGAGGCUUCCUGCUGGCUGUAGUUGUCCAAGGAAGAUGGACCCAUUAUGGGCAUGGGCUUCUCAAAAGGCUUGUCAUGGUCAAAAUGCUUCUGAGUUAUUGGAAAAACAAUGGUGUUCAAGGGCUGGGCCAUCAUUUGGAUCUUUCCUUGAGGUCACUAACCCUGUAAUGAAGAAGCACCUUGUCACUGGACACAAUGCUGGUUCCUGGCUGCUGGGGAUGUUCUAACUCUGGUGGAGAGCUAACAACAACAUGAGUCACCUUACACUUACCUGCUGUGCCUUUCGCUUAAGACUGUUUCUGUCACCGGGUGUCAUGGACAGCAGUUGGCUCCUAAUGUGACAGGCUGGCUUCAGGGAACCAACUCUCCAUUACUCUGUGCUACAGAAUACAUGCAGACCCAAGGAAGAUGCUUGUCUGCCUGUCUGGUCCAUCCAGGGCCAUGACCUUCAAAUACACUCUAACCCCUGAGCCCUGUCUUCCUUCCUAACAUUUGCUGGUGAAAGGUCUGGCCUCAGCAU
RNAcentral lists this long non-coding RNA (5189 nucleotides) under Homo sapiens (human). Its description in RNAcentral is "HSALNT0300990". Lineage: Eukaryota; Metazoa; Chordata; Mammalia; Primates; Hominidae. The record is from RNAcentral.